Long non-coding RNA from Herpailurus yagouaroundi (jaguarundi), 325 nucleotides. RefSeq lists it as uncharacterized. The record is from RefSeq and is a predicted model, not a curated record. Lineage: Eukaryota; Metazoa; Chordata; Mammalia; Carnivora; Felidae. The transcript has 2 exons.
UCCGGAUUCACAGCGUGAAACAAGGGGUACUACCUGGUAGUAUCAAUUUUCAUAUGUAAAAAAAGCAAACAUUAUCUUAUCAGCACACGAGGAACAAAAAAAGUAAUAUAAAAAGUUAGGUGCAUACAUAAAAGCAAAAACUGAAACAAAGGAAACGUCCUAUGAUACAGCAACAGUGGAGAAAUUUUUGGUAUAAGCCGAGUGAAAUGGUUUAUAAUCACUAAAAAUGAUCCCUGUUAGUACAGCUAUGUGGAAAAGCAUAUACAUCUGAUCUGAUUUUAUAUAAAAAUACAAAAGUUAUUAAGACUGUAAUUAUCAAAAAAAA